GUUUGACCUCGGAUCAGGUAGGAAUACCCGCUGAACUUAAGCAUAUCAAUAAGCGGAGGAGGAAAA
RNAcentral lists this ribosomal RNA (66 nucleotides) under Paraeutypella vitis. RNAcentral describes it as "Eutypella vitis partial 28S ribosomal RNA". It matches the Rfam family "Eukaryotic large subunit ribosomal RNA", at positions 1 to 63 of the family's 3401-position model. Lineage: Eukaryota; Fungi; Ascomycota; Sordariomycetes; Xylariales; Diatrypaceae. The record is from RNAcentral.